AGAAGGCACGAGCGCUGUCGAUGACAGCACCCAGGUGGUCCGAACCUUAAAGGCCACUCCACAACCGUGGUGGUUCGCCCCAAGUAUGUUCAGCAUCCGGCAGUGCAUAUGGUCACCCCAGCCCAGGUGUGAUGGAUGC
This is a regulatory RNA element of Pseudomonas sp. M47T1, 139 nucleotides long. It matches the Rfam family "radC RNA". NCBI's taxonomy places the organism in Bacteria, Pseudomonadati, Pseudomonadota, Gammaproteobacteria, Pseudomonadales, Pseudomonadaceae. The record is from Rfam.